This is a long non-coding RNA of Oncorhynchus tshawytscha (Chinook salmon), 529 nucleotides long. The record is from Ensembl. NCBI's taxonomy places the organism in Eukaryota, Metazoa, Chordata, Actinopteri, Salmoniformes, Salmonidae.
GUGUGUUGUAGAUAUGUGGUAGAGGUGGAGAAGGGGCCUGAGGGCACACAGUGUGUUGUAGAUAUGUGGUAGAGGUGGAGAAGGGGCCUGAGGGCACACAGUGUGUUGUAGAUAUGUGGUAGAGGUGGAGUAGGGGCCUGAGGGCACACAGUGUGUUGUAGAUAUGUGGUAGUGGUGGAGAAGGGGCCUGAGGGCACACAGUGUGUUGUAGAUAUGUGGUAGUGGUGGAGUAGGGGCCUGAGGGCACACAGUGUGUUGUAGAUAUGUGGUAGUGGUGGAGUAGGGGCCUGAGGGCACACAGUGUGUUGUAGAUAUGUGGUAGUGGUGGAGUAGGGGCCUGAGGGCACACAGUGUGUUGUAGAUAUGUGGUAGUGGUGGAGAAGGGGCCUGAGGGCACACAGUGUGUUGUAGAUAUGUGGUAGUGGUGGAGAAGGGGCCUGAGGGCACACAGUGUGUUGUAGAUAUGUGGUAGAGGUGGAGUAGGGGCCUGAGGGCACACAGUGUGUUGUAGAUAUGUGGUAGAGGUGGA